UGAGGAAUAUUGGUCAAUGGACGGAAGUCUGAACCAGCCAUGCCGCGUGCAGGAAGACGGCUCUAUGAGUUGUAAACUGCUUUUGUACAAGGGUAAACCUGAAUACGUGUAUUCAGCUGAAAGUACUGUACGAAUAAGGAUCGGCUAACUCCGUGCC
This 157-nucleotide ribosomal RNA is filed under the name uncultured bacterium. RNAcentral's name for it is "partial 16S ribosomal RNA". It matches the Rfam family "Bacterial small subunit ribosomal RNA", at positions 355 to 509 of the family's 1533-position model. The record is from RNAcentral.